RNAcentral lists this RNase P RNA (329 nucleotides) under Petrotoga sp. 9PW.55.5.1. RNAcentral's name for it is "bacterial RNase P". It matches the Rfam family "Bacterial RNase P class A". From Rfam's summary of the family: Ribonuclease P (RNase P) is a ubiquitous endoribonuclease, found in archaea, bacteria and eukarya as well as chloroplasts and mitochondria. Its best characterised activity is the generation of mature 5'-ends of tRNAs by cleaving the 5'-leader elements of precursor-tRNAs. The record is from RNAcentral. Lineage: Bacteria; Thermotogati; Thermotogota; Thermotogae; Petrotogales; Petrotogaceae.
AAAGUAGGACGGUUGAUCGCUGAUAGACAUACUUGGUCUAUUAUGAGGAAAGUCUGGACUCUAAGGGCAGGAUGCUGGUUAACUACCAGAGGGAGCAAUCCUUGAAAAGGGCCAUAGAAAAGAAAACCGCCGAAAGGCAAGGGUGGAACGGUGGGGUAAGAGCCCACCAGUACCAGAGUGAUCUGGUAGCUUGGUAACCUCCAUCUUGAGCAAGGUCAAGCAGGAAGGCCAAAGGUUGCCCGCCGAGAGAGUUUAUCUCCGCCUUCCAGGUAGACCGCUUAGAUUAAUGAUCAACUCUACAGAAUCCGGCUUAUAGUCCUACUUAAUAA